This 254-nucleotide long non-coding RNA is filed under the name Vigna radiata. RNAcentral's name for it is "long non-coding RNA (VRAD_LNC010610)". The record is from RNAcentral. Lineage: Eukaryota; Viridiplantae; Streptophyta; Magnoliopsida; Fabales; Fabaceae.
CAUUGAAGUUUUAUUCUCACGGUGCUUACGGCUAUUUCUCAUAUUUAUCAAAUUUUAAGCCUAUUUUUCUUAUGCCAUCCAUGUUUAAUUAAUGGUCAGCCAUGUUAUUUCUUUUUAAUGACUUAUCUUUUAUUUUUAUUUUUAUUUUUAUUUUACUUUUAGUGUUCACUUUAAUGAUUUUAAUUAUGCUUGGUGCAUGUAAAUUUCAUUUUAAUUUAGUCAUUUGCAUUCACAAACUUUUCAACAACCCCCCA